Molecule: ribosomal RNA, 439 nt
Filed under: uncultured bacterium
Lineage: Bacteria
Description: partial 16S ribosomal RNA
Rfam family: Bacterial small subunit ribosomal RNA
Source: RNAcentral
CCUACGGGAGGCAGCAGUGGGGAAUAUUGCACAAUGGACGAAAGCCUGAUGCAGCAACGCCGCGUGAGCGAUGAAGGCCUUCGGGGCGUAAAGCUCUGUCCUCAAGGAAGCUAAUGACGGUACUUGAGGAGGAAGCCCCGGCGAACUACGUGCCAGCAGCCGCGGUAAUACGUAGGGGGCUAGCGUUAUCCGGAAUUACUGGGCGUAAAGGGUGCGUAGGUGGUUUCUUAAGUCAGAGGUGAAAGGCUACGGCUCAACCGUAGUAAGCCUUUGAAACUGGGAAACUUGAGUGCAGGAGAGGAGAGUGGAAUUCCUAGUGUAGCGGUGAAAUGCGUAGAUAUUAGGAGGAACACCAGUUGCGAAGGCGGCUCUCCGGACUGUAACUGACACUGAGGCACGAAAGCGUGGGGAGCAAACAGGAUUAGAUACCCCAGUAGUC